GAUAAGAACGUAGCGAAAUGCGAUAAGUAAUGCGAAUUGCAGAAUCCGUGAGUCAUCGAAUCUUUGAACGCACAUUGCGCCCUUUGGUAUUCCGAAGGGCAUGCCUGUUCGAGCGUCAUUAUCACCACACAAGCCCGGCUUGCUGUUGGUGGCAGCGCAGCCGGUCAACCGGCUACGCUCCACCCAAAGAUAAUGACGGCGUCUGCGAGGACUCCUGUACAUUGAGCUUUCGGGCACGUACAUGGCUAGAAGUCCAGGCGCCGGUCGACGUCCUCCGGGACACUUUUUACCAAGGUUGACCUCGGAUCAGGUAGGGAUACCCGCUGAACUUAAGCAUAUCAAUAAGCGGAGGA
This 353-nucleotide unclassified non-coding RNA is filed under the name soil metagenome. RNAcentral describes it as "partial contains 5.8S ribosomal RNA, internal transcribed spacer 2, and large subunit ribosomal RNA". The stretch from base 4 to 118 matches the Rfam family "5.8S ribosomal RNA", at positions 39 to 154 of the family's 154-position model. The record is from RNAcentral.